RNAcentral lists this ribosomal RNA (760 nucleotides) under uncultured bacterium. RNAcentral's name for it is "bacterial SSU rRNA". It matches the Rfam family "Bacterial small subunit ribosomal RNA", at positions 8 to 796 of the family's 1533-position model. The record is from RNAcentral.
AGAGUUUGAUCCUGGCUCAGCCUGAACGCUGGCGGCGUGGCUAAGACAUGCAAGUCGUACGGGCCUAGCAAUAGGUCAGUGGCGGACGGGUGAGUAAUGUAUCGCUAAUGUACCCUGGACACUGGGAUAGCCGUGGGAAACUGCGGGUAAUACCAGAUGACAUAUCCGAAUCGCAUGGUUUGGAUCUCAAAGGGCAACCGGUUUGGGAGCAGGCGAUAUCGUAUCAGCUAGUUGGUGAGGUAACGGCUCACCAAGGCGACGACGCGUAGCUGGUCUGAGAGGACGACCAGCCACAUUGGGACUGAGACACUGCCCAGACUCCUACGGGGGGCUGCAGUAACGAAUCUUCCGCAAUGCACGCAAGUGUGACGGAGCGACGCCGCGUGGAGGUUAAGUCCUUCGGGAUGUAAACUCCUGUCAGGGGUUACCAAGAUCUGAGGAGCCCCAGAGGAAGGCACGGCUAACUCUGUGCCAGCAGCCGCGGUAAUACAGAGGUGCCAAGCGUUAGGCGGAAUCACUGGGCUUAAAGCGCGUGUAGGUGGAUGGGUAAGUACCUUGUGAAAUCCCACGGCUCAACCGUGGAACUGCUGGGUAUACUGCUUGUCUUGAGGCACUCAGGGGCAGCUGGAACAAAUGGUGGAGCGGUGAAAUGCGUAGAUAUCAUUUGGAACGCCAAAGGCGAAAGCAGGCUGCUGGGAGUGAUCUGACACUAAGACGCGAAAGCCAGGGGAGCAAACGGGAUUAGAUACCCUGGUAGUCC